GCCAGCAUGGUGUAAUGGUUCAAACAUUGGAUUACAACUCUGGACUCUGGAGACAAGGGUUCAAAUCCCCGCUCUGCCA
Phrynosoma platyrhinos (Desert horned lizard) is the source of this 79-nucleotide non-coding RNA. NCBI's taxonomy places the organism in Eukaryota, Metazoa, Chordata, Lepidosauria, Squamata, Phrynosomatidae. The record is from the annotation of a GenBank genome assembly.